UCAUCAGUAAGGUACAUCCUUACCUAUUACUCCUUACGGAGUUGCACAAAAUUAUGAAUGGAAUGCAUGGUGAUUAAUACUCGCUCCCACCUCUGAGGAACUAACAACCCCUCAGUGACCAUUUUGCU
Molecule: small nucleolar RNA, 128 nt
Organism: Hemiscyllium ocellatum (epaulette shark)
Lineage: Eukaryota; Metazoa; Chordata; Chondrichthyes; Orectolobiformes; Hemiscylliidae
Product: U8 small nucleolar RNA
Exons: 1
Source: RefSeq, a predicted model, not a curated record